Molecule: transfer RNA, 73 nt
Filed under: Heterocephalus glaber (naked mole-rat)
Lineage: Eukaryota; Metazoa; Chordata; Mammalia; Rodentia; Bathyergidae
Rfam family: tRNA
About the family: Transfer RNA (tRNA) molecules are approximately 80 nucleotides in length. Their secondary structure includes four short double-helical elements and three loops (D, anti-codon, and T loops).
Source: Rfam by way of RNAcentral
GGCGGUAUAGCUAAGUGGUAGAGCCCGUGCCUAAGCAUGCACGAAGUCCUGGGUUCUAAACCCAGCACCACAA